GCAGGAGCUUCCUUGCCAGGGAGAGAUGGAGAGAUGGCAUGUCAGCCUUGUUGCUGACACCGCGUAAGAGCAAAUUCCACUGGAACUGAGCCACAGAGACCGGUAAUGAAGAUUUACUUGGGAUGUUGUGAUGCUGAACAAGGACAAAAAGGAGGAAAAUGUAUGUGGGCUAAAACUGGAGAAGAGUUUGCCAAGGGAUCAUGGAAGAGAAGUGUGGUCGUGGCAGUAAUGGACUGAUAGAAAUCAUGAGGGAGGCUAACUGUGCGCCCCAAGGUGACGAUGUUGUGAUUUAAGUUCCAUCAGGACCUCAAAUCUCUUUGUAAGUGGCAUAUUGCGUACUUCAAGGAAAAAUAUCUGAACCCCAUGAUUUAACAACAGAGAGAAAGGAAAAAUCUUCAGGAGGUAAGAUGGGAAUGAGACAAGUAAUUUAAAUGCAAGGAACAAGAGGAAGAUGUGACGAGCAGGAAAUGGAAGAACUCCAAGAAUACUAGAGAAAUGCCAGUAUUCUAGGGAUCACAAAGAUGUACUUGGUUCUUUUUCUAAGGCAGCGAGUGG
Molecule: long non-coding RNA, 555 nt
Filed under: Equus caballus (horse)
Lineage: Eukaryota; Metazoa; Chordata; Mammalia; Perissodactyla; Equidae
Description: lncRNA (ENSECAG00000044383.1)
Source: RNAcentral